GACGAACGCUGGCGGCGUGCUUAACACAUGCAAGUCGAACGGAAAGGCCAUGCUUUUGUGGGGUGCUCGAUUGGCGAACGGGGGAGUAACACGUGAGUAACCUGUCCUUGACUUUGGGGUAAAUUCAGGAAACUGGGGCUAUACCGGAUAGGAGCUUCUGCAGCAUGGUGGGGGUUGGAAAGUUUCGGCGGUUGGGGAUGGACACGCAGCUUAUCGGUUUGUUGGUGGGGUAGGGGCAUACAAAGGCUUUGGCGGGUAGCCGGCCUGAGAGGGUGACCGGCCACACUGGGACUGAGGUACGGCCCAGACUCCUACGGUAGGCAGCAGUGGGGAAUAUUGCACACUGGGCGGAAGCCUGAUGCAGCAACGCCGCGUGCGGGAUGACGUCCUUCGAGUUGUAAACCGCUUUCGCCUGUGACGAAGCGUGAGUGACGGUAAUGGGUAAAGAAGCACCGGCUAACUACGUG
RNAcentral lists this ribosomal RNA (467 nucleotides) under uncultured bacterium. RNAcentral's name for it is "partial 16S ribosomal RNA". It matches the Rfam family "Bacterial small subunit ribosomal RNA", at positions 28 to 507 of the family's 1533-position model. The record is from RNAcentral.